CAGAGAGGCGCAGCCACUUACUGUAGCAGUUAUACUACAGUUUUUUCCAAUUGCUAACACACUAAAAUGACAUGCACAGCACAAUUAUUUAAACUGACACACAGAGAGCAAAACCUCUUCUCAAGUCUCCAAAAGUCUAAACACAUUUUCUGCUUUAUACACAUUUUGAAAUUCAAAAUGGCACUUUUUAAAUGCAAUGCACACAGUUCUCUGCAUAAGACACAACAAUCUGACAUAAAGUCACAUGUUUGCCAUUUCAAAACACUGCCAUUCAAAAUGACACUACAUGAGCUAAUUGGCCAAUACAUGUGCCACCUGGCCAAACACCCCAAUGGUUAAUUGUUACCACUUCAAUCAGGAAGUAAGCACUAUGAAAAGACCACAGGUGAGCACCUUUUGUUUUACAACAACAAUGGAAGCCAUUGCAGAGAGAGGAAGAGGGGGGGUGAGAAUGAGAAGGGGAGGAAGAGUGAGAGGUAGGGGUAGAGCUGGUAGAGGAGUGCAUGGCCAAAGAAAACAACAACUUUCAAAUGAAAUCAGAGCAACCUUAGUUGAUCAUGUCAUCAACCAUGGGCUGACAAUGCGAGAGGCUGGACAGAGAGUGCAGCCCAACUUGAGACGUUUUACUGUCGCCUGUGUCAUCCGGACAUUUAGACUGGGUUACAGGUAUGUAACAAAAAUUUAUUUCACACUAUGUAGUACACCCCAUGUCAUAGUGUAUCAGUUGGGUGACACCCGUUUACUUCAUGAAUGGCUGAUGUCAUACACUAACUGCACAAAUUUCCUGUAGAAUUUACUCUACUGUGGGGGAUAUAUCUUUAGGCUGCAUUGUCCAAGCCCUAUAUUUUAGUUUUUUGGUUUUUCUAAAGGACUGAGAGACGCAACCAUGGUGGAGGAAGGGGCCAAAUGUUCACCGGGGUACAGGAAGCUGCCAUUGUAAACUUGGUUUUGGAAAAUAAUGAAAUCAGAUUACGAGAAAUUCAAAGCCACAUCAUCCAAGACAACACCAUAUUCAACAACAUUCAACGAGUCAGUCUGUCCACAUUGGCUCGCAUUCUCAAACGAAACCAAAUCAGAAUGAAACAACUUUAUAAGGUGUCGUUUGAGAGAAACUCUCAAAGAAACAAAAGGGUCAGACGAGCAUAUGUGGAUGGAGUACUGGAAAUGGAUGCUCAUGCAAUCCCACAUGAGUUCAUCUUUAUAGAUGAGGCUGGGUUCAACCUAGCAAAGACCAGAAGAAGGGAGAGACGUCAUUGGCCACAGAGCCAUUAUAGAUGUUCCUGGCCAACGUGGUGGGAACAUCACAAUGUGCGCUGCCAUCUCCAAUACGCAUGGUGUCCUCCACCGUCAUGCCAACCUUGGACCAUACAACACAGCCCAUAUUCUCACAUUUCUGGACAUACUCCACAACAUUCUCAUACCACCAGAGCGUAUGAAUGAUGCAGACCAUCAAAGAACCCGGUACGUUGUAGUAUGGGACAACGUGAGCUUUCGUCGUGCAGCCCCAGUCCAAAACUGGUUUGCUGACCACCCACCAUUUCUCGUGUAAUACCUCCCACCAUACUCACCAUUUCUGAACCCCAUAGAAGAGUUAUUUUCGGCAUGGCGGUGGAAGGUAUACGACCGGCAGCCCUUUGUGCGCAUGCCUCUUGUGCAGGCUAUGGAAGAGGCAUGUGAUGAGAUUGAUGUGGGUGCGAUUCAGGGAUGGAUAAGGCACUCAAGGCGCUUCUUCCCUCGAUGUCUGGCAAGGGAAGAUAUUGCCUGUGAUGUGGACGAGGCGUUGUGGCCAGACCCAGCUGUGCGGCAAGAUGCUGCCUAAUUAUUUUUCUUGCCUCUUUUUUUCUAUAUAUUUUUUCUGCAAUUUUCUUUUUCAGUUUACAGUUUUUUUGUGAGCAUAUUUUUGUUUAGUCCAAUGUAAAUAUAUCUGCUGUGCAUAUGUUUUGCACGGACUUGUUUGGUGAAAAAUAAAAAAAUAAAAUGUUUCAACAGCA
Molecule: long non-coding RNA, 1991 nt
Organism: Salvelinus fontinalis (brook trout)
Lineage: Eukaryota; Metazoa; Chordata; Actinopteri; Salmoniformes; Salmonidae
Exons: 2
Source: RefSeq, a predicted model, not a curated record